Molecule: ribosomal RNA, 370 nt
Filed under: uncultured bacterium
Lineage: Bacteria
Description: bacterial SSU rRNA
Rfam family: Bacterial small subunit ribosomal RNA
Source: RNAcentral
GGGCCCGCACAAGCGGUGGAGUAUGUGGUUUAAUUCGAUGCAACGCGAAGAACCUUACCAGGGUUUGACAUCCUGCGAAUUUCUGGGAAACCGGAAAGUGCCUUCGGGAGCGCAGUGACAGGUGGUGCAUGGCUGUCGUCAGCUCGUGUCGUGAGAUGUUGGGUUAAGUCCCGCAACGAGCGCAACCCACGUCUUUAGUUGCCAGCACGUAAUGGUGGGAACUCUAGGGAGACUGCCGGUGACAAACCGGAGGAAGGUGGGACGACGUCAAGUCAUCAUGGCCCUUAUGGCAGGGCUACACACGUGCUACAAUGGCCGGUACAAAGGGCAGCGAAGCCGCAAGGUGGAGCGAAUCUCACAAAACGGUCGU